This 395-nucleotide ribosomal RNA is filed under the name Klebsiella variicola subsp. variicola. Its description in RNAcentral is "partial 23S ribosomal RNA". It matches the Rfam family "Bacterial large subunit ribosomal RNA", at positions 1515 to 1889 of the family's 2925-position model. Lineage: Bacteria; Pseudomonadati; Pseudomonadota; Gammaproteobacteria; Enterobacterales; Enterobacteriaceae. The record is from RNAcentral.
AGCAUGUAGGCGGAGGUUCCAGGUAAAUCCGGUACCUUUUAACGCUGAGGUGUGAUGACGAGGCACUACGGUGCUGAAGUAACAAAUGCCCUGCUUCCAGGAAAAGCCUCUAAGCAUCAGGUAACAUCAAAUCGUACCCCAAACCGACACAGGUGGUCAGGUAGAGAAUACCAAGGCGCUUGAGAGAACUCGGGUGAAGGAACUAGGCAAAAUGGUGCCGUAACUUCGGGAGAAGGCACGCUGGUGUGUAGGUGAAGUCCCUGCGGAUGGAGCUGAGACCAGUCGAAGAUACCAGCUGGCUGCAACUGUUUAUUAAAAACACAGCACUGUGCAAACACGAAAGUGGACGUAUACGGUGUGACGCCUGCCCGGUGCCGGAAGGUUAAUUGAUGGGG